Long non-coding RNA from Dermacentor albipictus, 895 nucleotides. RefSeq lists it as uncharacterized. NCBI's taxonomy places the organism in Eukaryota, Metazoa, Arthropoda, Arachnida, Ixodida, Ixodidae. The record is from RefSeq and is a predicted model, not a curated record.
GCAAAGCAGAUCCGUUCGAAGGCCACGGCUGGGGCAGGACGGAGACAUCAGCCCGAAAGAGGGAGAGAGAAGGAUUGGUGUAGGAGGUGGGGAAUGGGAACAGGAGGAUACAGCCAGCACCAAAGAUGGGAUACGUCAACUCUACGCCAUCCUGCAGCAUGAUGUUUUCACGCUUUUACUCAUAUUGUACUUGCCGAUGGCGCACUGACAAACGACCGCGCAGACUCCCGGGAGCAACGUGACGUGGUGGUGGCAGUCAGCGACCAAUCGUUGCGCGUUGCACCGCGGAAACGGACGAUCACUGGGCGAUAAGGCACGCGUCGGCGCAUGACCAGCGACCCGCAUUGUGUUCCUGUCACGCAAGCGGCGGAGUCUGCGCACGCAAGCACCCAGCGCCGUCGCCUUGGCCGUGCCAAGCAAGCGCCCCUCCGAACACGGUGCCGGCAGGCUUGGACACCUUAAAAGAAAGCGCGAGCUCAUUGUCGCCAGUUGCUUAUUCCCAAGGUUUAAGCUACCAUGGAUCGGAGACAGUUCUAUACGAGAGCAGGCGAAUGUCAACAUAAAGACAGCUGGCUGCGGUGACCAAAUCAGCCAUCUCGUCCGCGCCCGGAGAUUUCUUCUCGUUCGGGCGCCAAACCCUUCCAGCCGAGGCUCAGGAUGAGUUGUCGCGGUAGCUGCUCGUACCAGUUGACUGACUAUUCGCUGUCGCAGAUGAAGAACUUCAAGGGUCUGAACCAACCUUUCCCCAAGUACAGCGCGGCAGUGCCCUCAAGCGCCUCAGUGGAACGGCUCUUCAACAUUGCCAACGAAGUGCUGACGAAAAAACGGGUUCGUCUGUCGGACACCAACAUCGAGAUGCAACUCUUGCGGAGUUUAAACAAGGGACUUUACUAAA